UAUUUUUUUUAAAAAAAAAUAAUAAAUAAAUCAAAAAUCAAAUUAACGCUGCUUGCUGCUUUGCUUGAGUGACAAACUGACGAUUCUGUUCUCUUUCAUUUCUAACCCUAAGUCCCUAACGUUAUCUCCAAGACUCCAAUCUCCAAGCUCCCUGGCUGUCUCCCCCUCUCCCUCACUCUCACUAUCUCUCAGCCAGUCAGCCCAACGCCCACCGCCGACAGUGACACCUCCCUGCCUUCCUCACUCUCUCAGGCGAAGCCCAGGCGCCCACCGCAUGAGACAGCUGCCGCGCGAUUCUCCAUUUCUCCGAUGGUUCAAGCGCUACUUUGCACACAAAAUUGGCUUAGAGCUAAGGAAGUGCCAAUUGUUGAUGUGGAAGAAAAUUUUAAAGAGUUAGAGGAAAUAGAGAAAGAGGUGCAACGUGGUGAAUCUAACGAUGUAGACGAUGAAGUUGUUUUCGUGGACUCAUUAGUGUGAAUCACGCGAUCAAAGGGAAAACAACUCGUUGGAGAAUUUAUGUAUUUCUAGUACUUGAGACUUUGAGAGUUGAGACUUAAGAGAAUUUAUGUAAUGUUAUGAGUUUUCGUGGACUUAUUUGUAUUUUCGGUGGAUUCAAUUGUAUUUUUGGUGUUUGAGAAUCGGGACUUUAUAGAC
Molecule: long non-coding RNA, 654 nt
Organism: Chenopodium quinoa (quinoa)
Lineage: Eukaryota; Viridiplantae; Streptophyta; Magnoliopsida; Caryophyllales; Amaranthaceae
Exons: 3
Source: RefSeq, a predicted model, not a curated record